GCCAGACCUAGCCCUACACAGCCCUUAACUCAACUACCAACAUCAACCCAAACCAACCAAACCAUUUACACCAAUAAAAGUAUAUGCGAUAGAAAUUAUCAACAGGCGCCAUAGAGAUAGUACCGCAAGGGAAAGAUGAAAGAACAACUAAUAGCACAAAACAGCAAAGACCAACCCUUUUACCUUUUGCAUAAUGAACUAACCAGAAAAACCUUGACAAAGAGCCCUUCAGCCAAAAACCCCGAAUCCAGACGAGCUACCCGCGGACAGCACAAAGAACCAAUUCAUCUAUGUUGCAAAAUAGUGAAAAGAUCCUCAGGUAGAGGUGAAAAGCCUAACCGAGCCUGGCGAUAGCUGGUUGUCCAGAAAUUGAACCUAAGUUCAACUUAAAAUUUGCCCAAAGAACAUAACAUCAAAUCUCAACACAAAUUUUAAAUAUAAUCAACAGAGGUACAGCUCUGCUGACAAGGGACAAACCCCACCUAGAGAGUAACCACCCCCCCCCCCCCCCCCAUAGUAGACCUAAAAGCAGCCACCAAUAAAGAAAGCGUUCAAGCUCAACUAGCAAUAACUCCAAAAAUACCAAAAGCCACACCCAACUCCUAAAACCCCACUGGACCAAUCUAUAAUAUAGAAGAGACAAUGUUAGUAUAAGUAAUAAGAAUAACUUCUCCACGCACUAGCUUAUAUCAGAACGGACCUACCACUGAUAGUUAACAGCCAGACUUCCAUACUCCCCCAAAUAUCCCCAAGUCGUAACUCACUGUUAACCCAACACAGGAAUGCGUACUGGAAAGAUUAAAAGAAGCAGAAGGAACUCGGCAAACAUAAAUCCCGCCUGUUUACCAAAAACAUCACCUCUAGCAUAACAACUAUUAGAGGCACCGCCUGCCCAGUGACAUAUGUUCAACGGCCGCGGUACCCUGACCGUGCAAAGGUAGCAUAAUCAUUUGUUCUUUAAUUAAGGACUUGCAUGAAAGGCCCAACGAGGAUUUUACUGUCUCCUACUUCCAAUCAGUGAAAUUGACCCCCCCGUGAAGAGGCAGGGAUAACCAUAUAAGACGAGAAGACCCUACGGAACUUUAAUUAACUAGCCUAAUCAUAACCCAUACAAACCUAGCAGGGACAACUUUCCAUGACCUAGACUAGCAAUUUCGGUUGGGGCGACCUCGGAGUACAAAAAAACCUCCGAAUGACCAUGCACCCAGACCUCACCAGUCAACGUGCCCCAAUAUCAACUCAAUUGACCCAAGUAAUUGACCAACGGAACAAGCUACCCUAGGGAUAACAGCGCAAUCCUAUUUCAGAGUCCAUAUCGACAAUAGGGUUUACGACCUCGAUGUUGGAUCAGGACAUCCCAGUAGUGUAACCGCCACUAAAGGUUCGUUUGUUCAACGAUUAAAGUCCUACGUGAUCUGAGUUCAGACCGGAGUAAUCCAGGUCGGUUUCUAUCUAUAAACCUUUUCUCCCAGUACGAAAGGACAAGAGAAACUGGGCCUACUCUACAAAAGCGCCCUAAAACCUAAUAGAUGACCAAAUCUAAAUCUAGUAAAUCACCUAACAACCAACCCAAAACCAGGGUUU
RNAcentral lists this ribosomal RNA (1584 nucleotides) under Bradypus variegatus (Brown-throated sloth). Its description in RNAcentral is "16S ribosomal RNA". It matches the Rfam family "Bacterial large subunit ribosomal RNA", at positions 379 to 2925 of the family's 2925-position model. Lineage: Eukaryota; Metazoa; Chordata; Mammalia; Pilosa; Bradypodidae. The record is from RNAcentral.